CCCUUAGAUGUUCUGGGCCGCACGCGCGCUACACUGAUGCAUUCAACGAGCCUAUCCUUGACCGACAGGUCCGGGUAAUCUUUGAAUCUGCAUCGUGACGGGGAUAGAUUAUUGCAAUUAUUAAUCUUCAACGAGGAAUGCCUAGUAGGCGCAAGUCAUCAGCUUGCGUCGAUUACGUCCCUGCCCUUUGUACACACCGCCCGUCGCUACUACCGAUUGGAUGGUUUAGUGAGAUCCUCGGAUUGGUCCCGGCGCGGCCUCUGGUCGUGCCGGAGUGCCGAAAAGAAUGUCGAACUUGAUCAUCUAGAGGAAGUAAAAGUCGUAACA
This 327-nucleotide ribosomal RNA is filed under the name uncultured eukaryote. RNAcentral describes it as "partial 18S ribosomal RNA". It matches the Rfam family "Eukaryotic small subunit ribosomal RNA", at positions 1470 to 1796 of the family's 1831-position model. The record is from RNAcentral.